GACCAUGUCCAUUCCUCGACCAACCAUGUAAACUGGCAAAACAUCACUAUAUUUACAUGCAAAAUACUAAUAACUCCUGCAUAGUAUUUUGUUUGGACUGUUAAACAUCUUCCAUGUUUUAAGAUCUCUGGAAAAGGUGUCUGUGGGGGACAGUGGUCAGCGGCACGAGAAACAUCACAGAAGUCUUCCAGCGAAGUAGAUGAGGAGGGCCUAGAACUUGCCAUUUGUCGGCACGGUGUUCUUCUUUGUGACCUUAAUAUGUUCAGGGGGAAUUUUUGCUUACCCUCUGUACCUCCAGAAAAAAAUGGCUUGUAAGCCAGUGAAAUUCUUUGCUAUGGAUGUUGCAUGCAAGUAUUGGCCUUACCUCAAGAGAGAGAGUGAGAGAUGCCCUGAGCUUCAGGAUCUGCUCUCAAUGAAGCCGUUUCUUUCACUGUUUCAUGCCAAAGCCCACAACUUCAAAUGCGAGGUAAGAAAAACCAUGUUAUUUUCUGACUUGACUGUCCAUGUGAUUUUCUUUAUCCAUACAUAAGAUUGUUGCAGCUUAGAUUCAUUUAUUUAUUUUUAAAGGUAAAAUGGAGUGGGGCGUACCAGGAGGGGGCUGGUUUGACUCUUGGGGAGGAGGUGGAGCAGUGUAAUGGCUUCCUUUCAAGAAUUGAUUUUACCACAAAGCACAUGGCAAGAGCAGAAGUGUUCAAGCUGCAGUACAUUUGCCAUGCUCUGGAAUCAGCAAAAGACGAACAACUUGGCUUCCACACUUGCCCGCUGAUAUCAAAAG
This is a non-coding RNA of Misgurnus anguillicaudatus (oriental weatherfish), 775 nucleotides long. NCBI's taxonomy places the organism in Eukaryota, Metazoa, Chordata, Actinopteri, Cypriniformes, Cobitidae. The record is from RefSeq and is a predicted model, not a curated record.